Molecule: non-coding RNA, 73 nt
Organism: Trichonephila clavipes
Lineage: Eukaryota; Metazoa; Arthropoda; Arachnida; Araneae; Nephilidae
Source: the annotation of a GenBank genome assembly
GUCCCUGUAGCGCAAUGGAUAACGCAUUGGACUUCUAAUUCAAAGGGUGUGGGUUUAAAUCCCACUUGAGAUA